UGAGGAACAUGACUUUCGGCGGGGGAUAGCCGGCCCAACGGCCGGGUAAUACCGCGUACGACCUGUCGGGGACAUCCCUGGUGGGUGAAAGCAGCAAUGCACCGAAAGAGUGCCUCGCGGCCUAUCAGCUAGUUGGUGGGGUAAUGGCUCACCAAGGCGACGACGGGUAGCUGGUCUGAGAGGAUGGCCAGCCACAUUGGGACUGAGACACUGCCCAGACUCCGUACGGGAGCAG
RNAcentral lists this ribosomal RNA (235 nucleotides) under uncultured bacterium. RNAcentral's name for it is "partial 16S ribosomal RNA". It matches the Rfam family "Bacterial small subunit ribosomal RNA", at positions 118 to 347 of the family's 1533-position model. The record is from RNAcentral.